Molecule: long non-coding RNA, 4403 nt
Filed under: Marmota monax (woodchuck)
Lineage: Eukaryota; Metazoa; Chordata; Mammalia; Rodentia; Sciuridae
Source: RNAcentral
AGGAUCAGUAGAGGAGUGGAAAGGGAACAGUGGGAGGGAAGAGGGGAAGGGUACAGGUAAAUACUGAGGACUUGAUUGGAGUAAAUUAUUUCAUACAUUUAUAGUUAUGUCAAAAUGAAGUUGAAUGUAUGUAUAACUAUUAUGAAACAAUAAAACAAAGACAGUAUUUAAGAACUGACAACAUGGAGCAACAUUCUGAAAGUAACUCCUUGCUAAAGAAACAAUGAAAAUUGAGGGGGAAAAGAAAGCAGAUGAAAUGCCAAUCACCUGCAGAGUUUACAAAAGGUGUUACAAAACCAUCUUACAAAAAGAACGUGUAGUUUGGGCUGGGGAUGUGGCUAAAGCAUAGCCCGCUCGCCUGGCAUGCAUGCGCCCAGGGUUUGAUCCUCAGUACCACAUACAAACAAAGAUGUUGUGUCCGCCGAAAACUAAAAAAUAAAUAUUAAAAAAUUCUCUCUCUCUCUCUUUAAAACAACAACAACAACAACAAAAACUUGCAGUUCUAUAAAAAAUUUAAAUUAUCCUAGACUUCAUUAGGCUUUUCAGGGAGUGAUUUAUUUCACACACUUAAAAAAAAAAAAAAAAAAGCAGUGCAGUCAAAUUGUAAUAUUUUGGUCCAGGCUCACUAAAACUCUUGAACAGCACAAACGACGUUUAGGAAUAAACAUUUGAAUUUUACUGGUUUAGCAGUGGAAAGAACAGUCUGACACUAACAGGUGACUAUUAAUAGAUUUAAGCUAUGAAGUUAAAGAGUGUGUGUCGGGUCCAGGCCCGGCCUUUGGUCAUGGAGUGUCCCUGCCAAGUCCUUGAACCCAGGAUCCUGGGUGCGGCAAGGAGAGUCAUUGGGGUUAGAAACAGAUAGCAGGAGAAAAAGGCGCUCCGGUGACAGUGCCCCCUCCCUGACCCAAUGACUCAGGGCUUUUCCCGCAUACCCACAAUCCCAUUCAGAGGCCGAGCCCAGGAGGCGGAACUGCGGGUGUCGCGCAGGCAUCCACUUAGUUCCCGGGUCGAGUAGCCCCUCCCCCGCCGGGAGGCGCAAGGCCCCAGGAAUAAAGUGGGGCUGGCGCUGCGGGUUGGCGUCCUCGCAGGGCAAUGGUGCGGCAGCGCACUGGUGCUCUCCUGCAGAAGGUGCUGGUCACCACAGCCCGGGCUGUGGUAUCCUUUGCGCUGAGCUGGGCUCCUGCCAGACCGAGCACCAAGCCUCCACCUUGGAGGUGGCCUCAGGUCCAAGUGGUGGCCUCUAGUGUGCAGGAGAGCCACUGCGCUUGCUUUACUGGGUCCUCUGCGCCAUUGGCUUCCGAUAGUCACAUCUCCGGGGUGGGGAGACAGGCCAGCGCUGGUGGCCCUCACGUCCGGCAAUCGGGUGCAUAGUGGCUGGUCUGGUGGCUGCCAUCGCGUCGCACUUGAGGUCUUGCCUUAGUCAGCUGCCUUGUCAUGUUCUGCAGGCAGUGUGCACGACCUCUGCGAAUGCCUGGAGACCGAGAAGUGCCUGAGGACAGUCAAACUCUAAACAGGAGCACAGAGCUGACAGGAAGGGAUCUAGGGGACCAGCCACUGGAAUCCUCUCAAUAGGGGAUGCCUGUUUUCCGAGAGGGGGAGCUGACAUAUUGGCCCUGCCCAAGUCCACCGCCUGCAGGGGGAACUCAGGGGCGCUCUGUGCUCUGUGGAACCCUCUGGUGGCCUGGGGAUCCUGGCAGAGUCCUGCAUUGGUGUCUGGAAAAAGAACUUAGAAUUUUGAGCCUGUAUGUCUUCCUUGAGUCUUCAGAAGUGAAUCCUAGAAGGAAUGUGUGCGCCAGGCACAUAAGGGAGGAGCAGACCCAGAAGUAUGUUACUGUGAAUAAGACCCGCGGGAAUCAAAUCUGUUUCUUGAACUGCUUUUUUUUUUUUUUUUUUAAAGAGAGAGAGAGAGAAAGAGAGAGAGAAUUUUUAAAUAUUUAUUUAUUUUUUAGUUUUUGGUGGACACAACAUCUUUGUUUGUAUGUGGUGCUGAGGAUCGAACCUGGGCCGCACACAUGCCAGGCGAGCAUGCUACCUCUACCUCUUGAGCCACAUCCCCAGCCCUUGAACUGCUUUUGCCUGCUCAGUUUAACCCUUGAUAAGGGAGUACUUUUGGAAAUGGUAGGAAACUGCCUGGAGGUUUUCCUUAGGCCAAUAGCCUCUCUUCUGCUUUUUGUUAACAUCCUGACAUCUCUCCUAAUGUUGGUUCUAACAGCUGUUUCUUGGACUUUCAGUGUUGCUCUUCCCACUGGGUUUCCAAGCAGCCAUGUGGGAGAACAUUGAAAGUUUAAACUUUGUCCACAGAAUGAUAAAGAGACCCCAGGUGAGGAUGUCAGCUCAUUUUCCAAGUGAGUAACAGAGACUGGGAGAGAUUAAAACUCUGGACCAAGAUCAUUUAACUAAGCCAGUGUUUGUCAUAGUGUGGUCCAUGGAGCAGUGUCAUCUGCAUCCCCUGGGAACUUGUCAGAAGAAGUUGUUAAAAAAGGACUUCUGCUGGGCAGGUGUAACUCAGUUUGUUUAACUCAGUGGUAGAGGGCUCACCUAGUACCACAGGGCCCUGGGUUUCAUCCUGGGAGUGGUGGGGAAUGCAAAUUCUAAGGCUCUGUAUUCUAAAAUUCAGAAAGAGGGAAAUAUUGCAGAAAAUACGUAAUUUGAGUUUUGAAAAUGCAGCCAUGAUUUAUCAUAUAUAAAUUAGCUUGUAGUUUGGUUAAAUCAACAUUAGCUACUAUUUGGGGUACUAUAUAUUACAUAUUUUCUUUCUUUCUUUUGAAAUCUGAUCUUGUGAUGUUGCCCAGGUUGGUAUUGAAAUCCUGGGCCCAAGCAAUCUUCCAGCUUUAGCUUCCUGAGUAGCUGGAAUUACAGGUGUUUAGUGCCAUGUUUAACAGGUUUAUUAUCUUUUUUUUCCUAUUUUUUUUUAAUGCUGGAGAUUGAACCCAAGGUGUGGUUUAACACUGACCUGCAUUCCCAGUAUUUUUUAUUUUUCAUUUUUGACACAGGUUCUUGCUUACUUGACACAGGUUACUUAUUUUGACACAGGGUCUUGCUAAGUUGCUUAGGUCCUCAAUAAGUGGCUGAGGCUGGCCUGAAACUUAUAUCCUCACUCCUCAGCCUCUUGAGUCACUGGAAUUUUAAGUAUACACCACUGUGCCUGGCCCAGUUGAUUACCUUCAAUCAUCUUUAAGGGGAAGAUUUAACCUUCAUAAAUACCUGUAUAUAUCUACAAUUUCAAUCAUAAGAAACAGGUUUGGUGAUUUGGGUUUGCUGGCAUGUUGUACUCUUAUUGGGAUUUUAUUACUUUGAUUAUUUCUGAGAAUCUAAUGAUCAAAAUGAAAAUAUAAAAUUUAUUGAAUUAGUUUCCCAUCUGAAUAUCAUAUGUAUUCACUCUAGAAAAAAUUUUAAAAGUCAGAAAUAGAAGGAAUUAAAAAAAAAAACUUCCAGAAUUCCCUUAUUUAAAAUACUGUUCUUUUCACAAAUAAUGUCUUGUUUAUAUCAUUGAAAUCAUAUUUUAUUAUAAAAUGUAUUGUCUACACUCUUGUGACCUUCAGUUUUAAUGACUGAGUCAUGUUUCAUUGAGUGGAUGUAAUGUCAUAGUUAGUUUUUCUUCCAUUACUAUACAUCUUGUGACCUUUAUUAAUGUUUUGGACCUGAAGUUUUUCAAACAUUUUAAGAUCAUUUUCUUAAAGACCUAUAUUUAGAAGUAUUGGAUCAAAGAGUAUGAACAUUUCUUGGGUUCUUGGUACAUAAUGUUAGGUCGUAAUAUAAAAUUUGGACUUAUUUGGUACCUUUUUCUCCUGUAGGUAUACUUUGAAUAAUAAUGUGCUAAGCCUAGAACAGAGAAAAUUUUAUGAAGAAAGUAGACUUCUUGUUAUUAGAAAUCUAGUAUCUGAUACUUAUAUUCAACACUUUAGGUGCAGCAAUACUCUUGCUUAUUUUACAAAAAAAAUGUGUUAUGGUAGUUAUGUUAUUUGCAGAGAAAUGGGUGGAACUGGAGGACAUCAUGUUAAGUGCAGUAAGGCUGACUCAGAAAGUCAAGGAUUAUUGUUUUCUUUCAUAUGUGGAAACUAGAGAGAAGCAAAGGGGUAAAGGGCCUUGCAUUCACAAGGCCAUGGGUUUGAUCCCCAGCACCACACACACGCAAAAAAAGUCUCAUGAAAAUAGAAGGGAGAUCUGUAGAGUACAGAAAGGGGCCCAUGGAAUGGAGGUAGGGAGGGAUAGGAGAGGUGCUAGGGAAUGAAAUUGACUAAAAGAUGCUCUGUGUAGGUAUGAAUAUAUCACAAUGAAUCUAAACAUUGUGUAUAGUUGUGAUUUAUCCAUAGAAAUUUAUAAAAUAUGAAUUACAUAUUUUAUUUGUAAUAGGAAUAUAAAAUUAGAUUCGCCUCUGCAUGUUCGGAUAUUUUUGAAUGACG